RNAcentral lists this small nuclear RNA (21 nucleotides) under Arabidopsis thaliana (thale cress). RNAcentral's name for it is "snRNA_09101". The record is from RNAcentral. Lineage: Eukaryota; Viridiplantae; Streptophyta; Magnoliopsida; Brassicales; Brassicaceae.
UCUUCAAUUUAAAGACACAGA